Molecule: ribosomal RNA, 500 nt
Filed under: uncultured bacterium
Lineage: Bacteria
Description: partial 16S ribosomal RNA
Rfam family: Bacterial small subunit ribosomal RNA
Source: RNAcentral
ACUCAAAGGAAUUGACGGGGACCCGCACAAGCGGUGGAGCAUGUGGUUUAAUUCGAGGCAACGCGAAGAACCUUACCAGGCCUUGACAUGUCCAGUAUGGGGUGCAGAGACGCACUCCUUCAGUUUGGCUGGCUGGAACACAGGUGCUGCAUGGCUGUCGUCAGCUCGUGUCGUGAGAUGUUGGGUUAAGUCCCGCAACGAGCGCAACCCUCGUCCUUAGUUGCCAUCAUUAAGUUGGGAACUCUAAGGAAACUGCCGGCGUUAAGCCGGAGGAAGGUGGGGACGACGUCAAGUCAUCAUGGCCCUUACGGCCUGGGCUACACACGUGCUACAAUGGCGGUGACAAUGGGUUGCAAACUCGCAAGAGUGAGCUAAUCCUUAAAAACCGUCUCAGUUCGGAUUGUCCUCUGCAACUCGAGGGCAUGAAGUUGGAAUCGCUAGUAAUCGUGGAUCAGCAUGCCACGGUGAAUACGUUCCCGGGUCUUGUACACACCGCCCGU